RNAcentral lists this ribosomal RNA (292 nucleotides) under uncultured archaeon. RNAcentral describes it as "partial 16S ribosomal RNA". It matches the Rfam family "Archaeal small subunit ribosomal RNA", at positions 991 to 1282 of the family's 1478-position model. The record is from RNAcentral.
CACACCGUCAACGCCGUGCGUGCUCCUUGCACACGGGGUUUAGUCAGGCAACGAGCGAGACCCACGCCAACAGUUGCCAGCUCGUCCUCCGGGAUGGUGGGGACACUGUUGGGACCGCCUCUGCUAAAGAGGAGGAAGGAAUGGGCAACGGUAGGUCAGCAUGCCCCGAAUUAUCCGGGCUACACGCGGGCUACAAUGGGUGGGACAAUGGGUAUCGACACCGAAAGGUGAAGGCAAUCUCCUAAACCCAUCCUUAGUUCGGAUUGUGGGCUGCAACUCGCCCACAUGAAGC